GACAGCUUUUUCUGUGUCUGAAUUACAAGGAAUUUGAGUAAGUCAUCCGACCACAAGGUGUUCCUGCAUCCAGACCCACAGCAACAAGCAGAGGAGAGGAGCAGAGCACUCCACUCCUGCAGUGCUACCAAAGCCAGGCUGAUCCCACAGCAGCUCCCAGUAACAUGCAUAAAGGGCACCUCACAUGCACUCAAAGAUGUCAGAAGGCAGACUCUCCGAGAAUUCCUAGAUGGGGUAUGCACAACGUGUUGUUAUUAUGCUGCUUGAUGGAUUUCAGAAUGGUUCCACUUGGGAAAAGAGG
This is a long non-coding RNA of Neopelma chrysocephalum (saffron-crested tyrant-manakin), 301 nucleotides long. RefSeq lists it as uncharacterized. The record is from RefSeq and is a predicted model, not a curated record. The transcript is spliced from 3 exons. NCBI's taxonomy places the organism in Eukaryota, Metazoa, Chordata, Aves, Passeriformes, Pipridae.